Non-coding RNA from Pelobates cultripes (western spadefoot toad), 215 nucleotides. NCBI's taxonomy places the organism in Eukaryota, Metazoa, Chordata, Amphibia, Anura, Pelobatidae. The record is from the annotation of a GenBank genome assembly.
GUGGAUCAUAACGAUGGGCAAUCAAGAUAAUCUUCCAGGAUAGUAUUGAUAGGUCCUUCAGCCUUUACAUUAACUAUUUGUAUUGUGCUAAACCGUUAAUCCUUAUUUGUAAGCUGCACCACUAGAGUCGACUAGGUUUUCUUCACCUCCCAGUCUAUAAAUCCAUUAUCAACAUUAUUAAUCUGGUCAUUACUAAGCCCUUCUCUUGUCACUGG